Molecule: transfer RNA, 69 nt
Filed under: Erinaceus europaeus (western European hedgehog)
Lineage: Eukaryota; Metazoa; Chordata; Mammalia; Eulipotyphla; Erinaceidae
Rfam family: tRNA
About the family: Transfer RNA (tRNA) molecules are approximately 80 nucleotides in length. Their secondary structure includes four short double-helical elements and three loops (D, anti-codon, and T loops).
Source: Rfam by way of RNAcentral
GGAGAGGUAUCUCAGUAGAGGAGAAUUUGCCUUGCAUGCAAAAAGUCCUGGGUUCAAUCCCCAACACCA